This 472-nucleotide ribosomal RNA is filed under the name uncultured bacterium. RNAcentral's name for it is "bacterial SSU rRNA". It matches the Rfam family "Bacterial small subunit ribosomal RNA", at positions 34 to 518 of the family's 1533-position model. The record is from RNAcentral.
CGCUGGCGGCGUGCCUAACACAUGCAAGUCGAACGGAACGAAAAGAGCUUGCUCUUGGCGUUUAGUGGCGGACGGGUGAGUAACACGUGAGUAACCUACCUUUCAGAGGGGAAUAAUGUCUGGAAACGGACACUAAUACCGCAUAAAAUAUUUUAACCGCAUGAUUGAAAUAUCAAAGGAGCAAUCCGCUGAAAGAUGGACUCGCGUCUGAUUAGCCAGUUGGCGGGUAACGGCCCACCAAAGCGACGAUCAGUAGCCGGACUGAGAGGUUGAACGGCCACAUUGGGACUGAGACACGGCCCAGACUCCUACGGGAGGCAGCAGUGGGGGAUAUUGCACAAUGGGCGCAAGCCUGAUGCAGCAAACCGCCGCGUGCAGGAAGACGGUCUUCGGAUUGUAAACUGUUGUCCUCUGUGACGAUAAUGACGGUAGCAGAGGAGGAAGCCACGGCUAACUACGUGCCAGCCGCUGC